This 497-nucleotide ribosomal RNA is filed under the name uncultured bacterium. Its description in RNAcentral is "partial 16S ribosomal RNA". It matches the Rfam family "Bacterial small subunit ribosomal RNA", at positions 28 to 507 of the family's 1533-position model. The record is from RNAcentral.
GAUGAACGCUGGCGGCGUGCCUAAUACAUGCAAGUCGAGCGAACGGACGAGAAGCUUGCUUCUCUGAUGUUAGCGGCGGACGGGUGAGUAACACGUGGAUAACCUACCUAUAAGACUGGGAUAACUUCGGGAAACCGGAGCUAAUACCGGAUAAUAUUUUGAACCGCAUGGUUCAAAAGUGAAAGACGGUCUUGCUGUCACUUAUAGAUGGAUCCGCGCUGCAUUAGCUAGUUGGUAAGGUAACGGCUUACCAAGGCAACGAUGCAUAGCCGACCUGAGAGGGUGAUCGGCCACCCUGGAACUGAGACACGGUCCAGACUCCUACGGGAGGCAGCAGUAGGGAAUCUUCCGCAAUGGGCGAAAGCCUGACGGAGCAACGCCGCGUGAGUGAUGAAGGUCUUCGGAUCGUAAAACUCUGUUAUUAGGGAAGAACAUAUGUGUAAGUAACUGCGCACAUCUUGACGGUACCUAAUCAGAAAGCCACGGCUAACUACGUG